Molecule: ribosomal RNA, 423 nt
Filed under: Anomaloglossus surinamensis group sp. ABGD cluster 22
Lineage: Eukaryota; Metazoa; Chordata; Amphibia; Anura; Aromobatidae
Description: partial large subunit ribosomal RNA
Rfam family: Bacterial large subunit ribosomal RNA
Source: RNAcentral
CUUGAAUUAACCAUAAGAGGUCCAGCCUGCCCAGUGACAUUGUUCAACGGCCGCGGUAUCCUAACCGUGCGAAGGUAGCGUAAUCACUUGUCCUUUAAAUGAGGACUAGUAUGAACGGCCACACGAAAGCUAUGCUGUCUCCUUUUUCUAAUCAGUUAAACUAAUCUCCCCGUGAAGAAGCGGGGAUAAUCAUAUAAGACGAGAAGACCCUAUGGAGCUUUAAACAAUUGAAACACUUGUACCUAUCCUCCACACUUCCGACAAUCUACACUUAAUUUUACACUUUGUUUCUAGCUUUAGGUUGGGGUGACCACGGAGAAAAAACAAACCUCCACGCUGAAAGAGUUAAUCUCUAAACAAAAAGCUACAUCUUUAAGUAUUAAUACAUUAACCUAAAUUGACCCAAUAAAUUGAUCAACGAAC